This 64-nucleotide non-coding RNA is filed under the name Tessaracoccus bendigoensis. Lineage: Bacteria; Bacillati; Actinomycetota; Actinomycetes; Propionibacteriales; Propionibacteriaceae. The record is from RNAcentral.
GAAUCCGGUGCGAAUCCGGAGCGGUCCCGCCACUGUGAGCUGCCUGAGGUAGCGAGCCAGGGCA